Molecule: long non-coding RNA, 476 nt
Organism: Magnolia sinica
Lineage: Eukaryota; Viridiplantae; Streptophyta; Magnoliopsida; Magnoliales; Magnoliaceae
Exons: 3
Source: RefSeq, a predicted model, not a curated record
ACCUUCAUUUCCGCCUCCUCAUCUCCAACCGCGCGCUGAUUCUCCCUCUCCAGUCCCUCAAGCUCUCCGCUCGCUCUUCCUCCCUCUCCCUCUCCCUCUCGCGCGCUUUCCCUCUCCCUCCCUCUCUCUGCCUUUCCGCUCGCUCUCCCUCUCCCUCUCCCUCUCCCUCUCUCUAUUCCUAUCUCUCUCUCUCAAAAUCCUAGUCAUCUCUCUCUCUCUCUCUCUCUCUCUCUCUCUCUCUCUAUCUCCUCGGUCCUCUGCUGCAGUUUUGCCUUCCGCUGCUCGUGAAUCUCCAAUUCUCAGGGAUUUGCAUUGUCGAAUCCCUUUUUAGGGAUUUGCAUCAUCGAAACCUUUUUUGGGGUUAGCAUGCUUUUGUUUCCAGUUCCUGUUUGUGCAGUCUCAUGCUCGGUGGACCACCAAAAAGAAGAUGCAGUUGUGAUUUUGGGGUAUGCCCAAACAGUUCUUAAAGCAUGCCA